Molecule: ribosomal RNA, 508 nt
Filed under: uncultured bacterium
Lineage: Bacteria
Description: partial 16S ribosomal RNA
Rfam family: Bacterial small subunit ribosomal RNA
Source: RNAcentral
GACGAACGCUGGCGGCGUGCCUAAUACAUGCAAGUCGAACGCUUCUUUCCUCCCGAGUGCUUGCACUCAAUUGGAAAGAGGAGUGGCGGACGGGUGAGUAACACGUGGGUAACCUACCCAUCAGAGGGGGAUAACACUUGGAAACGGGUGCUAAUACCGCAUAACAGUUUAUGCCGCAUGGCAUAAGAGUGAAAGGCGCUUUCGGGUGUCGUUGAUGGAUGGACCCGCGGUGCAUUAGCUAGUUGGUGAGGUAACGGCUCACCAAGGCCACGAUGCAUAGCCGACCUGAGAGGGUGAUCGGCCACACUGGGACUGAGACACGGCCCAGACUCCUACGGGAGGCAGCAGUAGGGAAUCUUCGGCAAUGGACGAAAGUCUGACCGAGCAACGCCGCGUGAGUGAAGAAGGUUUUCGGAUCGUAAAACUCUGUUGUUAGAGAAGAACAAGGACGUUAGUAACUGAACGUCCCCUGACGGUAUCUAACCAGAAAGCCACGGCUAACUACGUG